This 403-nucleotide ribosomal RNA is filed under the name uncultured bacterium. RNAcentral's name for it is "partial 16S ribosomal RNA". It matches the Rfam family "Bacterial small subunit ribosomal RNA", at positions 28 to 526 of the family's 1533-position model. The record is from RNAcentral.
GACGAACGCUGGCGGCGUGCCUAAUACAUGCAAGUCGAACGCAGUGGGGACGGGUGAGUAACACCUGGGUAACCUCCCAUCAGAGGGGAUAACACUUGGAAACAGGUGCUAAACCGAUACUGAUGGAUGGACCCGCUGUGCAUUAGCUAUUGGGUGGGGUAAAGGCUCACCAAGGCCACGAUGCAUAGACGACCUGAGAGGGUGAGCGGCCACACUGGGACUGUGACACGGCCCAGACGCCGAAGGGAGGUAGCAGUAGGGAAUCUUCGGCAAUGGAGGAAAGUAUGAACGAGAAACGCCGCGUGAGUGAAGAAGGUUUUCGGAUCGUAAAACGCUGUUGUUAGAGAAGCGGUAUCUAACAAGAAAGCCACGGCUAACUACGUGCCAGCAGCCGCGGUAAUUC